This 402-nucleotide ribosomal RNA is filed under the name uncultured bacterium. Its description in RNAcentral is "bacterial SSU rRNA". It matches the Rfam family "Bacterial small subunit ribosomal RNA", at positions 355 to 774 of the family's 1533-position model. The record is from RNAcentral.
UGGGGAAUCUUGCACAAUGGGGGCAACCCUGAUGCAGCGACGCCGCGUGAGCGAUGAAGCCCUUCGGGGCGUAAAGCACUUUCGACCGGAACGAUAAUGACGGUACCGGGAGAAGAAGCUGCGGCUAACUACGUGCCAGCAGCCGCGGGAAUACGUAGGCAGCAAGCGGUGUUCGGAGUUACUGGGCGUAAAGAGUGCGUAGGCGGUUUUUUAAGUUCGGUGUGAAAUCUCCCGGCUUAACUGGGAGGGUGCGCCGAAGACUGGGAAGCUGGAGUGUGGGAAAGGCGGGCGGAAUUCCUGGUGUAGCGGUGAAAUGCGUAGAUAUCAGGAGGAACACCGGCGGUGUAGACGGCUUGCUAGACCAUAACUGACGCUGAGGCACGAAAGCGUGGGUAGCAAACA